Molecule: ribosomal RNA, 1459 nt
Filed under: uncultured Bacillota bacterium
Lineage: Bacteria; Bacillati; Bacillota
Description: bacterial SSU rRNA
Rfam family: Bacterial small subunit ribosomal RNA
Source: RNAcentral
GACGAACGCUGGCGGCGUGCCUAACACAUGCAAGUCGAGCGGAGUGCCAUAGCGGAAGUUUUCGGAUGGAAGCAGUGGUAUCUUAGCGGCGGACGGGUGAGUAACGCGUGAGCAACCUACCUAUCACAGGGGGAUAACGCAGCGAAAGUUGUGCUAAUACCGCAUAAGACCACAGAGGGGACAUCCCUUGGGGGUCAAAGGAGUAAUCCGGUGAGAGAUGGGCUCGCGUCUGAUUAGCUAGUUGGUGAGGUAACGGCCCACCAAGGCAACGAUCAGUAGCCGACCUGAGAGGGUGAUCGGCCACACUGGAACUGAGACACGGUCCAGACUCCUACGGGAGGCAGCAGUGGGGAAUAUUGGGCAAUGGGGGAAACCCUGACCCAGCAACGCCGCGUGAAGGAAGAAGGUUUUCGGAUCGUAAACUUCUAUCCCGGGUGAAGAUAAUGACGGUAGCCCGGAAGGAAGCCCCGGCUAACUACGUGCCAGCAGCCGCGGUAAUACGUAGGGGGCAAGCGUUGUCCGGAAUGAUUGGGCGUAAAGGGCGCGUAGGCGGCCUGUUAAGUCUGGAGUGAAAGUCCCGCUUUUAAGGUGGGAAUUGCUUUGGAAACUGAUGGGCUUGAGUGCAGGAGAGGUAAGUGGAAUUCCCGGUGUAGCGGUGAAAUGCGUAGAGAUCGGGAGGAACACCAGUGGCGAAGGCGACUUACUGGACUGUAACUGACGCUGAGGCGCGAAAGUGUGGGGAGCAAACAGGAUUAGAUACCCUGGUAGUCCACACUGUAAACGAUGAAUGCUAGGUGUAGGGGGUAUCGACCCCUUCUGUGCCGGAGUAAACACAAUAAGCAUUCCGCCUGGGGAGUACGGCCGCAAGGUUGAAACUCAAAGAAAUUGACGGGGGCCCGCACAAGCAGCGGAGCAUGUGGUUUAAUUCGAAGCAACGCGAAGAACCUUACCAGGGCUUGACAUCCACUUAAAACAUCAGAGAUGGUGUGUUUUCUUCGGAAAGAAGUGAGACAGGUGGUGCAUGGUUGUCGUCAGCUCGUGUCGUGAGAUGUUGGGUUAAGUCCCGCAACGAGCGCAACCCUUACCUUUAGUUGCUAACGCGUGAUGGCGAGCACUCUAGAGGGACCGCCGAGGUUAACUCGGAGGAAGGUGGGGAUGAUGUCAAAUCAUCAUGCCCCUUAUGUCCUGGGCUACACACGUGCUACAAUGGGCAGCACAAAGAGAGGCGAAGUCGUAAGGCGGAGCGGAACUCAAAAAGCUGUUCUCAGUUCGGAUCGUGGGCUGCAACCCGCCCACGUGAAGUCGGAGUUGCUAGUAAUCGCGAAUCAGCAUGUCGCGGUGAAUACGUUCCCGGGCCUUGUACACACCGCCCGUCACACCAUGGGAGUUGGGAGCACCCGAAGUCGGUGAGGUAACCGUAAGGAGCCAGCCGCCGAAGGUGAGAUCGAUGACUGGGGUG